RNAcentral lists this ribosomal RNA (499 nucleotides) under Pseudomonas sp. 01WB04.3-60. RNAcentral's name for it is "bacterial SSU rRNA". It matches the Rfam family "Bacterial small subunit ribosomal RNA", at positions 1 to 500 of the family's 1533-position model. Lineage: Bacteria; Pseudomonadati; Pseudomonadota; Gammaproteobacteria; Pseudomonadales; Pseudomonadaceae. RNAcentral also lists the same sequence under 1 other name. The record is from RNAcentral.
UAGAGUUUGAUCCAUGGCUCAGAUUGAACGCUGGCGGCAGGCCUAACACAUGCAAGUCGAGCGGUAGAGAGAAGCUUGCUUCUCUUGAGAGCGGCGGACGGGUGAGUAAUGCCUAGGAAUCUGCCUGGUAGUGGGGGAUAACGUUCGGAAACGGACGCUAAUACCGCAUACGUCCUACGGGAGAAAGCAGGGGACCUUCGGGCCUUGCGCUAUCAGAUGAGCCUAGGUCGGAUUAGCUAGUUGGUGAGGUAAUGGCUCACCAAGGCGACGAUCCGUAACUGGUCUGAGAGGAUGAUCAGUCACACUGGAACUGAGACACGGUCCAGACUCCUACGGGAGGCAGCAGUGGGGAAUAUUGGACAAUGGGCGAAAGCCUGAUCCAGCCAUGCCGCGUGUGUGAAGAAGGUCUUCGGAUUGUAAAGCACUUUAAGUUGGGAGGAAGGGCAGUUACCUAAUACGUGAUUGUUUUGACGUUACCGACAGAAUAAGCACCGGCUAA